RNAcentral lists this ribosomal RNA (492 nucleotides) under uncultured bacterium. RNAcentral describes it as "partial 16S ribosomal RNA". It matches the Rfam family "Bacterial small subunit ribosomal RNA", at positions 28 to 507 of the family's 1533-position model. The record is from RNAcentral.
GACGAACGCUGGCGGCGUGCUUAACACAUGCAAGUCGAACGGAAAGGCCCCCACUUUUUUGGUGGGGGUGCUCGAGUGGCGAACGGGUGAGUAACACGUGGGUGAUCUGCCCUGUACUUCGGCAUAAGCUUGGGAAACUGGGUCUAAUACCGGAUAGGACCAUGGUUUAGUGUCUCAUGGUGGAAAAAUUAUUGUUUUGGUGCAGGAUGAGCUCGCGGCCUAUCAGCUUGUUGGUGGGGUAAUGGCCUACCAAGGCGUCGACGGGUAGCCGGCCUGAGAGGGUGGACGGCCACAUUGGGACUGAGAUACGGCCCAGACUCCUACGGGAGGCAGCAGUGGGGAAUAUUGCACAAUGGGCGCAAGCCUGAUGCAGCGACGCCGCGUGGGGGAUGACGGCCUUCGGGUUGUAAACUCCUUUCGUUAGGGACGAAGCCGCACCUUUUUUGGGUGUGGUGACGGUACCUUUGUUAAGAAGCACCGGCUAACUACGUG